UGAGCUGCAUCCUGAGCGUCGUCCUGAGGACCAUGCGGAUCACCGGGCUGACCUGCAUCCUGAGCGUCGGCCUGAGGAGCAUGCGGAUCGCCGGGCUGAGCUGCACGCUGAGCGUCCAUUUGAGCCGCAUGCAGAGCGGCGACCUGAAUUGCAUGCAGAGCGACAUGCGGAGCGACGUGACGACGCGGGACAGUUAAGAAGGUCACGUAGAUAAAAAUAUAUUAUGAAUAUUUAAACAUAGAGGGAUGGUCUUUCAUCACAGUCUCGCGUGUAAAGCACAUAUCAGAAAUUAAUAUAUCACAAAAUAUUUCUGUUUGGUAACAAUACCGAUGUUUGGUUUAAAAAAAAAGUAAACUAAUGUGUCUCGGUGUAUGUAAAGACCACAACUCACUUUGCUAUGUAGAAAUUCCAGGGCCUUGCUAAUACUUGAUAGCUUCAGUUCUAUUCUUUUACUACUUCGGUUUAAAGAUACUUUACUCUCAAAAAAUACAUACAGUCACUUACAUGAGAAGAGAACUUAUAAUUUAACUUAAUAACUAAUUUAUACAGUGUCGUACGCACCGCCAUACUUAAUAUCGCGCGAAAAACACAUCACAAAAACCAUAUAGUCAUUUACUUAUUUUGUAAAAUAUGCUGAGCUAGUUUGUACUUAAAUUUAUUGUGCCUAUGAUAGAGGUGUUGCUACCUAUUAUGAAAAAUGACAUGUUUAACCAAUGUGAUGUUAAUAUGUAGGCGAACGUGCAGUGGAUUGUAUUGUUCAUGGUAUCCAUAUACUAUAAAAGUGAAAGGUCAUUAAGACAUCACGAAGUCUCAGGAACUGCGAGUGCUGGGAGUCUUAAAUUUUGCUUGGGGGUUCCUUUAGAAUGUACGUACUCAUUAAGAGAUUUUGCGAAAUUCAAACGCCAAGGAGAUAAAAAUGGGUGGCAAAGUUUGUACGAAACUUCUAGUGUUAAUAGUAGGUUAUCUAAUUUACUAGAAAAUACCCAUUAUUUAAAUAAAGUAAAACGUAUUUAGGUAAUUAUCUUUAUAAACAAUCCUAACGAAGGGGUGAAAUAGGGGGAUUAAGUUUGUAUGGAAAAUAUUUAAUUUUUAUAGCUAUCGACUCCAAACUCACUACCCGUGCGAAGCCGGGGCGGGUUGCUAGUUACCUACAGAUAAAAUAAUAGGAUCUGGUAUUUUGGCUCUCUUGGCUCUCACACCGAAGAACUUUUGCAAUUAUUUUUUUAGGCAGUACAAUGAUUCUAGUUUAAAAAGUUUAGUUUACUUUAAGUUUAGUUUAGUUUUAGGAAAAAUGAAAGGGAAGAGAGAAAGGGGUAGACCUAGGAGAACAUUUAUGAAACAAAUAAAAGAAAAGGUGCAGGUCGUGUCGUAUCAGGAGGUGAAGGUUUUAGUGGGAAGAAGAGAGGAAUGGCGAUUACUCCACCGACAAGAGCGCAGCUCUCAAAUAAAGAGAGAAUGUUCUAGUUAGAAUCAUUUGAUUUAAUAUUUGGCUGAUUCAUAUGUUGGUUGAUAGUUAUCAACCAGACCGAAUUCCCAUCAGAAACAAAAUCUUCGAUAUUGCUAAUGUAGUGGGUUGAAUCAAGUUUUAGCAGGUACACUGGCCAGAUAAUCACUUGUCACAAAUGUAAGGAGAGGGGACAGUUUUAUACGUUGUUCCAAGUCAUUAAUUAAAUUUACAUUUUGUUGCAUACAGAGGUCACCAAGUUGGAAAUUGUUUUAGUUAGGCGGAGGAUAGAAGAAUUUAAGGAUAUUAUUAAAAAUAAAACAUUGUGCAUUUAUUUCUAUAGAUAACUAAAAAGGUUACCCAACACCAGAAUUUAUCUAGGAAGUGGGCUGUCAAUAAAAUAUUUGUUGAUUUCGGCAAUGGUGUUUGUUUGUUUGCUCAUGAAUUAAGAGUCCCAUAAUAACAUUCCUUCGUUUCUCCUUCUAUGGUUUGUGAGAUGGAAUGCUAACCUCAGCAACCUAGGUCUCAGAGUUUUUAUUGGGCCGCCAAGGUCAUGGUUUAUGUAACGACUAUGUACUUACAUCAGUAAAUAGUAACCGGGAUCAACGGUUUAAUGUGAUUCUCAAAGCACGAAACAUCUUACUUUCGGACAAUCGGAUGAUCAGUCUUUGAUGUCUUAACCAAACUGGGGAGUACAUUCCCUCAUUAAUUAAAGGCAUAGUUCAAUCGUUAAAAGAGGUAUCGCUAUAUGUAAGUGUCAAUGGAGUAGAUGCUCGGAUUGUAUGUAGAAUUGUUAAUGACAGUUUAUUAGACAUGCCAGUAGUAAUCGGACCGUCUUAGGACCGAUAUUGACAAUGACGUGCCCCAUCCGGGUUCGUGUAGCAAUGUGAAGUUAUUAUUAAAUGACGUCAACAGGUGUGGUCGAGUUUAUGGUGCACUCUCUGUAAGAGCCCAGACUCAUGUCAAGUUUAACGGUAGCGUUCUGUUGAAGAAUAGCAGGCAAAUCUGAUAAGCAAUAUUUCGUACGUGUGAGAACUUUUUAUCAUUGCCAAAAUGGACGUGUGGAUGUUUUAAAGCCACCUUGUUAUAUAUUUAUUUUUGUCGAGCGGUUAGGGUUGUAAAUAGUGAACCAGACAGGUGUACCUACCAUAGAGGUAUGAAUGUGGCUUCGACCAAAGUCAGGACCAUACGAUGAUAAGGAUGGUAAGGCGACAGACAUAGAAAGGCAGCAGUUAUUAGAUUUGCUCUAUAAAUACGUACAAGUAUUAUUUUGCAUUAUCACUUUAAGACUUGGGAGCACUAAUAUUAACAGCGGUGAACAUAGAAUUGGGUAGUUUCCUAGUUCAAAGAUAGGUAUGAAAUUGUGAUUGAUAAAUAAAGACAGAUCUAAAGGUAAAAAUAAACAUUUUUUUGUUUCUAUUUAGCUUCUUUAUGAAUUUUAAUAGGGAAAAUGUAAUUAAUAAGUGCGACAUUUGGGCAUGUUUUUCUACGACGUCACGGGUUGUUUUUUUUUUUUUUUUUUCAUACGGGUUCCAUAGUAAUUUCGUGUUUUGGGGUUUGGUGAAGGGUGACUGAUUUGACUAGUUGAAAACUACCCUGUUGAAUAGCCAACAUCCAGCUGUAUAUUGUCCUUAUUAACGGAAUAGAUAAAGGAAAAGGAAAUGGAACGUAAUAUGGUAGGUAAUAUGUUAGAGGCGGGUGUACUAAGGGAGUAUGUUUCAGAGUAUGCUAGUCCUACUUUAGGAGUUCGCAAAAAAGAGGGGUUCGCUGACGAUGUGUAAUGACUAUCGAAUGUUAUUAUUAAAAUGAUUAUGCUUGUGACCGAAAAUGAAAUAGCACGACUCAGCGGCCAAGCUUGCUUUGUUGCGCUUGAUCUCGCGUCAUCGGACUAUUUAUCGUUAUCACGGACGGUCAGCAAAGUUCGGUCGGACGGAGUUCAAUCGUUUGCCAUUCGAUCUGGCUGUAUACUAGCGGAUGAAGAAUAUGAUCUUGGACUCUGCUCGUUUUAUCAAGGCAACUUGGUAUAUGGACAAUGUUCUUAUCUUUGGGAAAGAUAUGUUUUUCAGAUGAUAGAAAUGAGAUUUCUUGUGUGACACGAUACAUUAUUUAGGAGACUAGAAUGACUCAUGUUGAUGUUUUAUCACGCAAUUCUAUUUCGGACACAGCAGACAUUCUCCCAUUCUAAAAAUAACUAAAAAAAUGACGAACAGAGCAAGGAAAACUUAUGCCUGCAUAUUUGGGACCGUAUUGGGUCAAUAAAAUUUUAAGCAGUAGUUACGCGAUACGUAAAAGACAACGUUUGGCUGCGGAUCAUAAGAUGUUGUGUAUACGUAUGUGGCGGUUUUAGACGUAAAUGAUAACAACUUUUCAAAUUAACAUUUUUGUUGAUGUAUUGUAAUUUGUGUUGUAUAACUGUGAGAGGCAUAUAGCUACAGAACAGUGUCUAUGUUUCAGGUCAAGUAUGUGAAUUGAUUGGUUCGUGUCUUGAUGAGAGCAAAGCAAAAGAAACACAGGCUCAGCUACUGUCACGAGACUUCUCGAUUAGCUCAGAUGGGAGACCUCCAUAAGGAUUUAACGAUUGGCUCAGAUUGGACGCCUCGAUAAGGUUUUACCGAUUGGCUCAGAUUGGAGACCUCGAUAAAAUUUAUCAAUUGGCUCAGAUUGGAGACCUCGAUAAGGAGUUAAUGGUUGGCUCAGAUUGGAUGCCUUGAUAAAGAUUUGUCGAUUGGCUCAGAUUGGACGCCUCGAUAAGGAUUUAACGAUUGGCUCAGAUUGGAGAUCUCGAUAACGAUUUAUUGAUUGGCUCAGAUUGGAGACUUAGAUUAGGAUUUAACGAUUAGCUCAGACUGGAGACCUCGAUAAGGAUUUAAAGAUUGGCUCAGAUUGGAUGCCUUGAUAAGAAUUUAUCGAAUGGCUCAGAUAGGAUGCUACAAAUUAUUUGUAUGAAUCAUUAGUUUAAUAAUGGGUAUCCGAUUGAUCGGAUCCUAAAAAGUUUUCAAGGUGAUUGAAUAGGCAUCGUAUCUUGUUUUAAAAAAUAUAUUAAGUACUAUUGUAAUUAACGAAAUACAAAAGUAACGUAAGAUUUAAGUAUUUUUUUAAAUGAUUCAUAUUUAGUUUGUAAAUUAAUUUGCAACUUUAGUUAUUAAUUUUCUUAAUUUAUUUUUUUGUCUUAUUCGUGUGAUUUGUUACUAAAACUUAAGUUUUAUUAGUAGUAUUUUUCCUGAUGGUUAAUGCUGUGCUUACCUACAUGUUAUUCGUUAAGAUUGGCCAAUAAGUAAAGUUCCUACUUAUUUGAUUAUUGUUUAAAAGAUUCUGAUGCAACUUUGUAACAUAAUUUGCUACUAUAGUUAUACAACAGUUACGAUAUUUGAGCCUGCUAUUAUUGUUUUAUUUAUUACUAAGUACUUAUCUGUAAUUUAUUGUUAAGAUUGAGCAACUGACCAAAGUACCGAUUGUUAGGGUUCCACCGGGUGUCGUGCGCGGGGACGCACACGUUGUCAGGAUGGACGAUUGUUAGGGUUCGUAAUGUUUAUUUAAUUAAUUAAUUAUUAUUAGAUUAUAUAACUUAAUAACAGACGGAAUAAAGUCGUGAAUCUGUGUCACGACUUUAUUAUUUUUAAUUUGGAACUGGCAUAUUAUUUCAUUUGUUUUUAUUUUGAUUUCUUCUUUUUCGAACGGGAACGCUUUCCCGCUUUUUUGAAAAGGCGGUGACGUGGAAUUUUGUUCGGUUGCGGUAAUCUGUUAUGAAGAGUUGAAGAGUUAACAUUGUUUAUGAAAAUAUAACAUUAUUCAAGAGAA
This 5242-nucleotide long non-coding RNA is filed under the name Pectinophora gossypiella (pink bollworm). Its description in RNAcentral is "uncharacterized LOC126372208". The record is from RNAcentral. Lineage: Eukaryota; Metazoa; Arthropoda; Insecta; Lepidoptera; Gelechiidae.